GAUGAACGCUGGCGGCGUGCCUAAUACAUGCAAGUCGAGCGAACGGACGAGAAGCUUGCUUCUCUGAUGUUAGCGGCGGACGGGUGAGUAACACGUGGAUAACCUACCUAUAAGACUGGGAUAACUUCGGGAAACCGGAGCUAAUACCGGAUAAUAUUUUGAACCGCAUGGUUCAAAAGUGAAAGACGGUCUUGCUGUCACUUAUAGAUGGAUCCGCGCUGCAUUAGCUAGUUGGUAAGGUAACGGCUUACCAAGGCAACGAUGCAUAGCCGACCUGAGAGGGUGAUCGGCCACACUGGAACUGAGACACGGUCCAGACUCCUACGGGAGGCAGCAGUAGGGAAUCUUCCGCAAUGGGCGAAAGCCUGACGGAGCAACGCCGCGUGAGUGAUGAAGGUCUUCGGAUCGUAAAACUCUGUUAUUAGGGAAGAACAUAUAUGUAAGUAACUGUGCACAUCUUGACGGUACCUAAUCAGAAAGCCACGGCUAACUACGUGCCAGCAGCCGCGGUAAUACGUAGGUGGCAAGCGUUAUCCGGAAUUAUUGGGCGUAAAGCGCGCGUAGGCGGUUUUUUAAGUCUGAUGUGAAAGCCCACGGCUCAACCGUGGAGGGUCAUUGGAAACUGGAAAACUUGAGUGCAGAAGAGGAAAGUGGAGUUCCAUGUGUAGCGGUGAAAUGCGCAGAGAUAUGGAGGAACACCAGUGGCGAAGGCGACUUUCUGGUCUGUAACUGACGCUGAUGUGCGAAAGCGUGGGGAUCAAACAGGAUUAGAUACCCUGGUAGUCCACGCCGUAAACGAUGAGUGCUAAGUGUUAGGGGGUUUCCGCCCCUUAGUGCUGCAGCUAACGCAUUAAGCACUCCGCCUGGGGAGUACGACCGCAAGGUUGAAACUCAAAGGAAUUGACGGGGACCCGCACAAGCGGUGGAGCAUGUGGUUUAAUUCGAAGCAACGCGAAGAACCUUACCAAAUCUUGACAUCCUUUGACAACUCUAGAGAUAGAGCUUUCCCCUUCGGGGGACAAAGUGACAGGUGGUGCAUGGUUGUCGUCAGCUCGUGUCGUGAGAUGUUGGGUUAAGUCCCGCAACGAGCGCAACCCUUAAGCUUAGUUGCCAUCAUUAAGUUGGGCACUCUAAGUUGACUGCCGGUGACAAACCGGAGGAAGGUGGGGAUGACGUCAAAUCAUCAUGCCCCUUAUGAUUUGGGCUACACACGUGCUACAAUGGACAAUACAAAGGGCAGCGAAACCGCGAGGUCAAGCAAAUCCCAUAAAGUUGUUCUCAGUUCGGAUUGUAGUCUGCAACUCGACUACAUGAAGCUGGAAUCGCUAGUAAUCGUAGAUCAGCAUGCUACGGUGAAUACGUUCCCGGGUCU
Molecule: ribosomal RNA, 1372 nt
Filed under: uncultured bacterium
Lineage: Bacteria
Description: bacterial SSU rRNA
Rfam family: Bacterial small subunit ribosomal RNA
Source: RNAcentral